This 667-nucleotide ribosomal RNA is filed under the name uncultured Flavobacterium sp. Its description in RNAcentral is "bacterial SSU rRNA". It matches the Rfam family "Bacterial small subunit ribosomal RNA", at positions 508 to 1182 of the family's 1533-position model. The record is from RNAcentral. Lineage: Bacteria; Pseudomonadati; Bacteroidota; Flavobacteriia; Flavobacteriales; Flavobacteriaceae.
CCAGCAGCCGCGGUAAUACGGAGGAUCCAAGCGUUAUCCGGAAUCAUUGGGUUUAAAGGGUCCGUAGGCGGUUUAGUAAGUCAGUGGUGAAAGCCCAUCGCUCAACGGUGGAACGGCCAUUGAUACUGCUAGACUUGCAUUAUUAGGAAGUAACUAGAAUAUGUAGUGUAGCGGUGAAAUGCUUAGAGAUUACAUGGAAUACCAAUUGCGAAGGCAGGUUACUACUAAUGGAUUGACGCUGAUGGACGAAAGCGUGGGUAGCGAACAGGAUUAGAUACCCUGGUAGUCCACGCCGUAAACGAUGGAUACUAGCUGUUGGGAGCAAUCUCAGUGGCUAAGCGAAAGUGAUAAGUAUCCCACCUGGGGGGUACGUUCGCAAGAAUGAAACUCAAAGGAAUUGACGGGGGCCCGCACAAGCGGUGGAGCAUGUGGUUUAAUUCGAUGAUACGCGAGGAACCUUACCAAGGCUUAAAUGUAGAUUGACCGGUUUGGAAACAGACUUUUCGCAAGACAAUUUACAAGGUGCCGCAUGGUUGUCGUCAGCUCGUGCCGUGAGGUGUCAGGUUAAGUCCUAUAACGAGCGCAACCCCUGUUGUUAGUUGCCAGCGAGUCAUGUCGGGAACUCUAACAAGACUGCCAGUGCAAACUGUGAGGAAGGUGGGGAUGA